This 75-nucleotide transfer RNA is filed under the name Alphaproteobacteria bacterium. Its description in RNAcentral is "tRNA-Gln". It matches the Rfam family "tRNA". Rfam says of the family: Transfer RNA (tRNA) molecules are approximately 80 nucleotides in length. Their secondary structure includes four short double-helical elements and three loops (D, anti-codon, and T loops). RNAcentral also lists the same sequence under 1 other name. Lineage: Bacteria; Pseudomonadati; Pseudomonadota; Alphaproteobacteria. The record is from RNAcentral.
UGGGGCGUCGCCAAGCGGUAAGGCACCGGAUUUUGAUUCCGGCAUUCGUAGGUUCGAUCCCUACCGCCCCAACCA